GACGAACGCUGGCGGCGUGCUUAACACAUGCAAGUCGAACGGAAAGGCCCCUUCUGUGUUGCUUGAUUGGCUGACGGGUGAGUAACACAUACGUAACCUGCCCUUGACUUCGUGAUGACUUCAUUAAACUGGGGCGAAUACCUGAUAGGAAUCCUUGCUUCCUGGUUGGGGUUGGAAAGCUUCGGCGGGUUUGGAUGGACUCGCUGGUUAUCUGCUUGGUGGUGGGGUAGUGGGUUACCAAGGCUUUGACGGGUAGCCGGCCCGAGAGGGCGACCGGCCACAUUGGGACUGGGAUACCGGCCAGACGCCUACCGGGGGCAGGAGUGGGGAAUAAUGCAAAAUGGGGGGGAGCCUGAUGCAGGCACGGCGCCGGCGGGAAGAACGGCUUUGGGUUGGAAAACGGCUUCCGCAGGGGAGAAGCUUGUGGUGACGGUAACUGCAGAAGAAGCACCGGCUAACUACGUG
RNAcentral lists this ribosomal RNA (465 nucleotides) under uncultured bacterium. RNAcentral's name for it is "partial 16S ribosomal RNA". It matches the Rfam family "Bacterial small subunit ribosomal RNA", at positions 28 to 507 of the family's 1533-position model. The record is from RNAcentral.